GCUGGCGUAGCUCAACCGGUAGAGCACCUGCCUUGUAAGCAGGGGGUUAGGGGUUCGACUCCCCUUGUCAGCU
RNAcentral lists this transfer RNA (73 nucleotides) under Deltaproteobacteria bacterium. RNAcentral describes it as "tRNA-Thr". It matches the Rfam family "tRNA". From Rfam's summary of the family: Transfer RNA (tRNA) molecules are approximately 80 nucleotides in length. Lineage: Bacteria; Pseudomonadati; Myxococcota; Myxococcia. The record is from RNAcentral. RNAcentral also lists the same sequence under 1 other name.